GACGAACGCUUGCGGCGUGCCUAGAAAUGCAAGUCGAACGGGGGGCUUCGGCCCCAGUGGCGAACGGUCGCGUAACACGUAAGCAACCUGCCCUGAAUGGGGGACAACAUCCCGAAAGGGGUGCUAAUACCGCAUGUGGUCACGAGUCGGCAUCGACUUGUGUCUAAAGAUUUAUCGCUUCAGGAUGGGCUUGCGGCCUAUCAGGUAGUUGGUGGGGUAAUGGCCUACCAAGCCGACGACGGGUAGCUGGUCUGAGAGGACGAUCAGCCGGAUUGGGACUGAGAUACGGCCCAGACUCCUACGGGGGGCAGCAAUUAGGAAUCUUGCGCAAUGGGGGAAACCCUGACGCAGCGACGUCGCGUGAAGGAUGAAGGCCCUCGGGUCGUAAACUUCUUUUGAGUGGGAAGAGAUUUGACGGUACCACUCGAAUAAGCCCCGGCUAACUACGUG
This 450-nucleotide ribosomal RNA is filed under the name uncultured bacterium. RNAcentral describes it as "bacterial SSU rRNA". It matches the Rfam family "Bacterial small subunit ribosomal RNA", at positions 28 to 507 of the family's 1533-position model. The record is from RNAcentral.